CUUGAUUAUCAGCAAUGUAGGUUUCUAUUCUGUGUGCUUCUUAUUGGAGAAGAUUUAACUCUAGAAGUUCUUGGUCCACAGAGCUCAGCUCUAGCUAACCUGAGAGAGUGGGACGAAAAAGAAGGAGAUGGGGACAGAGAAUAUGCAGCGCACAUGUACAGUGUCCCCAGUUGAGGACAACUGGGGAACAGAAGGAGAA
Molecule: long non-coding RNA, 199 nt
Organism: Talpa occidentalis (Iberian mole)
Lineage: Eukaryota; Metazoa; Chordata; Mammalia; Eulipotyphla; Talpidae
Exons: 3
Source: RefSeq, a predicted model, not a curated record